GAGACUCCGUUAGUAGUGGCGAGCGAACGCGGAUCAGGCCAGUGCUCUCUCUUAGAUUAUCAGAACCAUCUGGAAAGUUGGGCCGUAGCGGGUGAUAGCCCCGUAUGAAGCGUCAACGAGAGAGACUCGAGUAGGGCGGGACACGUGAAAUCCUGUCUGAACAUGGGGGGACCAUCCUCCAAGCCUAAGUACUCCU
RNAcentral lists this ribosomal RNA (196 nucleotides) under Astrosyne radiata. RNAcentral's name for it is "partial Bacterial large subunit ribosomal RNA". It matches the Rfam family "Bacterial large subunit ribosomal RNA", at positions 231 to 477 of the family's 2925-position model. Lineage: Eukaryota; Bacillariophyta; Fragilariophyceae; Cyclophorales; Cyclophoraceae. The record is from RNAcentral.